AAGUUAAUGCCCACAAAAGAAGUGUUGUGAAGACCAAAGAAAAAGCAGCCUGCCUAGAAACAUUGUAUGAUUCCACCGUUAGAAGUUUAAGCACACUCACCUAAAGGGAACUGGUUCUCCAAGUCAUCUACAGAUAUGUGUAGUGACAGAGAAGUUCUAAAAAGACCAAGAAUUUUCUACAGCAUUUUUUACUUAUUUGUCAGAGCCACAAGUUUCCAACUUGAAGAAAAGUCAUCUGGGAGCUGCACGCCUCUUCUCACCCCCCUGGGAUGGCCUGGCUUCAAACUGUGCCUUCAAAAGAGCAGCUUGGAACUGGCAUGGCAAACUGCUUAUAUUGUAAUUUAUGAACUCAGUGCCUCCUCAUGGACCAUUGUACAACAGCAGAGAUUUCAUCCCUUAAUUCCACAAGCCCAGUGGGACCAUGGACUGAUGACUUGACUUUCUGCCUGGUGGUCUUUUGAGAUUUUCUCUCCAAAGAAAUACAACAGAAGCACAUAAAGCAAGCUUUCCUCACCAUCUUGGUGUGCCCAGUUCCUCCAGCUGCUGGGACAAUCCCCAUGCACUGACCAAAAGGGUGGAGGCUGAAAAAAACAGUAAAUAAG
Molecule: long non-coding RNA, 602 nt
Organism: Melospiza melodia melodia
Lineage: Eukaryota; Metazoa; Chordata; Aves; Passeriformes; Passerellidae
Exons: 5
Source: RefSeq, a predicted model, not a curated record